UAAGAGGUCCCGCCUGCCCUGUGACUAUUAGUUUAACGGCCGCGGUAUUUUGACCGUGCAAAGGUAGCGCAAUCACUUGUCUUUUAAAUGAAGACCUGUAUGAAUGGCACGACGAGGGCUUAACUGUCUCCUCUUUCAAGUCAAUGAAAUUGAUCUCCCCGUGCAGAAGCGGGGAUAAAACCAUAAGACGAGAAGACCCUAUGGAGCUUUAGACACCAAAGAAGAUCCUGUCAAAAGUCCCUAAACAAAAGGCCAGAACCAAUGGAAACCUUCCCGAAUGUCUUUGGUUGGGGCGACCACGGGGAAAUAAACAACCCCCGCGUGGAAUGGGAGCACUAUUCUCGCUCCUACAGCCAAGAGCCACAGCUCGAAUCAACAGUAUUUCUGACCUAUAAGAUCCGGCAGCGCCGAUCAACGGACCGAGUUACCCUAGGGAUAACAGCGCAAUCCCCUUUUAGAGCCCAUAUCGACAAGGGGGUUUACGACCUCGAUGUUGGAUCAGGACAUCCUAAUGGUGCAGCCGCUAUUAAGGGUCCGUUUGUUCAACG
This 548-nucleotide ribosomal RNA is filed under the name Sebastolobus macrochir. RNAcentral's name for it is "partial 16S large subunit ribosomal RNA". It matches the Rfam family "Bacterial large subunit ribosomal RNA", at positions 1846 to 2586 of the family's 2925-position model. Lineage: Eukaryota; Metazoa; Chordata; Actinopteri; Perciformes; Sebastidae. The record is from RNAcentral.